UACGUAGGGACCAAGCGUUGUUCGGAUUUACUGGGCGUAAAGGGCGCGUAGGCGGCGAAUCAAGUCAGCUGUGAAAUCUCCGAGCUUAACUCGGAACGGUCAGCUGAUACUGUUUUGCUAGAGUGCAGAAAGGGCAACCGGAAUUCUUGGUGUAGCGGUGAAAUGCGUAGAUAUCAAGAGGAACACCUGAGGCGAAGGCGGGUUGCUAGGCUGACACUGACGCUGAGGCGCGACAGCGUGGGGAGCAAACAGG
Molecule: ribosomal RNA, 253 nt
Filed under: uncultured bacterium
Lineage: Bacteria
Description: partial 16S ribosomal RNA
Rfam family: Bacterial small subunit ribosomal RNA
Source: RNAcentral